Molecule: ribosomal RNA, 452 nt
Filed under: uncultured bacterium
Lineage: Bacteria
Description: bacterial SSU rRNA
Rfam family: Bacterial small subunit ribosomal RNA
Source: RNAcentral
UACGGAAGGCAGCAGUGGGGAAUAUUGCACAAUGGGCGCAAGCCUGAUGCAGCCAUGCCGCGUGUAUGAAAAAGGCCUUCGGGUUGUAAAGUACUUUCAGUCGUGAGGAAGGUGUUAAGGUUAAUAACCUUAGCAAUUGACGUUAGCGACAGAAGAAGCACCGGCUAACUCCGUGCCAGCAGCCGCGGUAAUACGGAGGGUGCGAGCGUUAAUCGGAAUUACUGGGCGUAAAGGGCACGCAGGCGGUUAAUUAAGUUGGAUGUGAAAUCCCCGGGCUUAACCUGGGAAUGGCAUUCAAGACUGGUUAGCUAGAGUCUUGUAGAGGGGGGUAGAAUUCCAUGUGUAGCGGUGAAAUGCGUAGAGAUGUGGAGGAAUACCGGUGGCGAAGGCGGCCCCUGGACAAAGACUGACGCUCAUGUGCGAAAGCGUGGGGAGCAAACAGGGAUUAGAUA